RNAcentral lists this ribosomal RNA (462 nucleotides) under uncultured Thiobacillus sp. Its description in RNAcentral is "bacterial SSU rRNA". It matches the Rfam family "Bacterial small subunit ribosomal RNA", at positions 917 to 1381 of the family's 1533-position model. Lineage: Bacteria; Pseudomonadati; Pseudomonadota; Betaproteobacteria; Nitrosomonadales; Thiobacillaceae. The record is from RNAcentral.
GACGGGCCCGCACAAGCAGCGGAGCGUGUGGUUAAUUCGAUGCUACACGAAGAACCUUACCAGGGUUUGACAUGCAAGUGGUAGGAAGCCGAAAGGUGACCGACCCUUCGGGGAGCUUGCACAGGUGCUGCAUGGCUGUCGUCAGCUCGUGUCGUGAGAUGUUGGGUUAAGUCCCGCAACGAGCGCAACCCUUAUCAUUAGUUGCUACGCAAGGGCACUCUAAUGAGACUGCCGGUGACAAACCGGAGGAAGGUGGGGAUGACGUCAAGUCCUCAUGGCCCUUAUGGGUAGGGCUUCACACGUCAUACAAUGGUCGGUACAGAGGGUUGCCAAGCCGCGAGGUGGAGCCAAUCCCAGAAAGCCGAUCGUAGUCCGGAUUGUUCUCUGCAACUCGAGAGCAUGAAGUCGGAAUCGCUAGUAAUCGCGGAUCAGCAUGUCGCGGUGAAUACGUUCCCGGGUCUU